Molecule: ribosomal RNA, 425 nt
Filed under: uncultured bacterium
Lineage: Bacteria
Description: partial 16S ribosomal RNA
Rfam family: Bacterial small subunit ribosomal RNA
Source: RNAcentral
GUUAGGAAUAUUGGACAAUGGGCGCAAGCCUGAUCCAGCCAUGCCGCGUGAGUGAUGAAGGCCUUCGGGUUGUAAAGCUCUUUAGUCCACGAAUAUAAUGACUGUAGUGGAAGAAUAAGCCCCGGCUAACUUCGUGCCAGCAGCCGCGGUAAUACGAAGGGGGCGAGCGUUAUUCGGAAUCACUGGGCGUAAAGCGUGCGUAGGCUGUUUUGUAAGUCAGAAGUGAAAGCCCAGGGCUUAACCCUGGAAUUGCUUUUGAAACUACAAGACUCGAAUUCGGGAGAGGAUAGCGGAAUUGUCAGUGUAGCAGUGAAAUGCGUAGAUAUUGACAGGAACACAAGUGGCGCAAGCGGCUAUCUGGACCGAUAUUGACGCUGAGGCACGAAAGCGUGGGGAGCAAACAGGAUUAGAAACCCUGGUAGUCC